GUGGGUAGCGGUGAAAUUCCAAUCGAGCCCGGAGAUAGCUGGUUCUCCCCGAAAUAGCUUUAGGGCUAGCCUCAAGGUGAGAGAUACGGAGGUAGAGCACUGAAUGUCCUAGGGGGUAUUGCACCUACCGAAGACUAUCAAACUCCGAAUGCCGUCAUCUUAUACUUGGGAGUCAGACUGUGGGUGAUAAGAUUCAUAGUCGAAAGGGCAACAGCCCAGAUCGUCAGCUAAGGUCCCUAAAUGUAAGUUAAGUGGUAAAGGAUGUGGGAUUGCACAGACAACCAGGAUGUUGGCUUAGAAGCAGCCACUCAUUCAAAGAGUGCGUAAUAGCUCACUGGUCGAGUGAUCCUGCGCCGAAGAUUUCCGGGGCUAAAACUUACUACCGAAGCUACGGCAUCAGUAAUGAUGGGUAGGGGAGCUUCCCAUACAGGUUGAAGCAUGACCGUAAGGACAUGUGGACAGUAGGGGAGUGAGAAUGUUGGCAUGAGUAGCGAGAUGUGGGUGAGAAUCCCACAGGCCGUAAACCCAAGGUUUCCAGGGGAAGGUUCGUCCGCCC
RNAcentral lists this ribosomal RNA (556 nucleotides) under Clostridioides difficile. Its description in RNAcentral is "bacterial LSU rRNA". It matches the Rfam family "Bacterial large subunit ribosomal RNA", at positions 811 to 1375 of the family's 2925-position model. The record is from RNAcentral. Lineage: Bacteria; Bacillati; Bacillota; Clostridia; Peptostreptococcales; Peptostreptococcaceae.